Molecule: long non-coding RNA, 952 nt
Organism: Coregonus clupeaformis (lake whitefish)
Lineage: Eukaryota; Metazoa; Chordata; Actinopteri; Salmoniformes; Salmonidae
Exons: 5
Source: RefSeq, a predicted model, not a curated record
GGUAACAUUGCGAUCCCUCUAUGCCAUAUUAUGAGGUCGUCAAAUUUACUAAAGUUGUUUCCUACUAAUUAUUUGCCUACUUUAUCAAUGUCAUCGUAUUUCCAUGCCACUCUAAGUUAGUGUAAUUUAGACAAGUCACAUUAGCCUCUGAGGUGCCACCCAUGUCUAUGAUGGUACUAGCUAACUCAUGUCUGACUACAAGAGUAUACUAACUAGCGGCAACAAACUCAAACCAACCAAGGGCCAUAGCAAAACAUGUCACAGUUGGCUACAUAGUGUAAGGGCGUCACUGGCCUGAAUCUAAUCCAAUCUGGAGCCAGUCAGUCUACAUCUGUAAUGUAUAGAAUUAUCCUCCAAACGAGAUUACAUUAUUUCUCGAGCUAUGUUUAUAAUUGAGGGAUGAUGACAAUCAUUGACCCUGUUUUUCUGUUAGACAAAGUGCACAGUUGGGUGACAGACUGAUCCCCUGGUCAUGAACGGAUGCCGGGACCUACCAGAAGGAUAAAAGCUAGUCUCCCUCGACUCCUGUGAAAAGGACACGCCAUCCUGAAGCCUCCUAUAGGUACUGCCUUGAUGACACAGACGGCUUCAUCAACAACGACAGGCCUCCGAGUCAACACCACCUCAUAAGAUUGCCUGCUGCAGUUGUUCGAGAGAUGUCCAGUUUUCAGCCAAACAUAUGGAGCAUAGAGAAUACCACAUCUGAGGGGCCAGGAGCUGAUCUACGCUGCAAUGCCCAUCAAUGUGGCUCUGGCAAAGACCUCACCUCCAGCAUCACAUCUUGCCUGCUCACCAACGGUUGUCGAUGGGGAGAACAGCAUUAGAUGGACUGGAGAUGCUUUGUCCAGAUGGCAGCUUCAGUCGUUUGAUGUGGAAACCAUAAUUGAGUAGGUUUUAUCUGAACUAUUCAAACUUCAACAUAGUACCUGUUUGUGUGUCAGAUAUUACCUAU